This 877-nucleotide ribosomal RNA is filed under the name uncultured archaeon. RNAcentral describes it as "bacterial SSU rRNA". It matches the Rfam family "Archaeal small subunit ribosomal RNA", at positions 31 to 913 of the family's 1478-position model. The record is from RNAcentral.
UAUCGGAUUGAUACUAAGCCAUGCGAGUCAUUGCAGCAAUGCAAGGCAGACGGCUCAGUAGCGCGUAGUCAACCUACCCUAUGGACGGGAAUAACCUCGGGAAACUGAGUAUAAUGCCCGAUAGAACACUAUUCCUGGAAUGGUUUGUGUUCCAAAUGAUUUAUCGCCGUAGGAUGGGACUGCGGCCUAUCAGUUUGUUGGUGAGGUAAUGGCCCACCAAGACUAUUACAGGUACGGGCUCUGAGAGGAGUAGCCCGGAGAUGGGUACUGAGACACGGACCCAGGCCCUAUGGGGCGCAGCAGGCGAGAAAACUUUGCAAUGUGCGAAAGCACGACAAGGUUAAUCCGAGUGGUUUGUGCUAAACGAACCUUUUGACAGUCCUAGAAACACUGUUGAAUAAGGGGUGGGCAAGUUCUGGUGUCAGCCGCCGCGGUAAAACCAGCACCUCAAAGUGGUCAGGAUGAUUAUUGGGCCUAAAGCAUCCGUAGCCGGCUCUGUAAGUUUUCGGUUAAAUCUGUACGCUCAACGUACAGGCUGCCGGGAAUACUGCAGAGCUAGGGAGUGGGAGAGGUAGACGGUACUCGGUAGGAAGGGGUAAAAUCCUUUGAUCUAUUGAUGACCACCUGUGGCGAAGGCGGUCUACCAGAACACGUCCGACGGUGAGGGAUGAAAGCUGGGGGAGCAAACCGGAUUAGAUACCCGGGUAGUCCCAGCUGUAAACUAUGCAAACUCAGUGAUGCAUUGGCUUGUGGCCAAUGCAGUGCUGCAGGGAAGCCGUUAAGUUUGCCGCCUGGGAAGUACGUACGCAAGUAUGAAACUUAAAGGAAUUGGCGGGGGAGCACCACAAGGGGUGAAGCCUGCGGUUCAAUUGGAUUC